Podarcis lilfordi (Lilford's wall lizard) is the source of this 68-nucleotide non-coding RNA. NCBI's taxonomy places the organism in Eukaryota, Metazoa, Chordata, Lepidosauria, Squamata, Lacertidae. The record is from the annotation of a GenBank genome assembly.
ACUUGGGAUAGCUCAGUUGGUAGAGCACGAGAGUCUCGGGGUCGUGAGUUAAAUCCCCAUGUUGGGCA